UGCGUUGUUUAAUAUUUACUAUUCGGGUGUAUCAAUGUCGAUCGCGAUGUGAAAUCUCCAUUAACCUUAACCAUAUUAACAUUUAUUGGAGAUUUGACUGCACACGUUUACCUGGUAAGGUUUGUAAAGUAUGAUUUAAAUGUUAACAAAGCGUGGCGAAAAUGGUUAUUAUUAGCUUGUUUAUUAAUAUCUUAGUUAAAUUAGUG
This 206-nucleotide long non-coding RNA is filed under the name Mytilus galloprovincialis (Mediterranean mussel). Lineage: Eukaryota; Metazoa; Mollusca; Bivalvia; Mytilida; Mytilidae. The record is from RNAcentral.